UAUUACCGCACCAUUUCACUUCGGUCUUCGACGCUGAUGGUAGAUGGUGGAACGCCCAGUUUUGUUUAUUUAUUUUUUUUCAACCCGUGUUUCGCGGUAACCGUGAACUCUCUCGCUGUAACAGCACCCAAAAGUCGCCAAUGACCAUGAAAAAUUUGUAGUUUGUACGAUUCACUGUGGAAAAAAACAUGAUUUUGUGUUACUGUUAAAUUGAAUAAAAACUUUAUUGUGCUCUCGAAUCCAGCCGACUGUAUUUAUAACCUUUACAUUCGACGAGUAAUCACGCAACCGGGCUACGUUACACAAUGUUAAGAUGCUGAUGUGAACAAUUUUAACAACAAUUUUCCCGAACAAUAAAGAAAAUGGUGGAUUUAAGAUUAGUGCGGGUCGCGAUCGUUAUCUGUGUGAUAUCGGUGGUGGAAAGUGUCAGUUUGACUUAUAUUUUAAAGAGGGAGCAGAAGGGGAUACAGCCUAGUUGUAUAGCGGAAGGGUUGAAAAGGUAUUCGGCCAUAGGUUGGGUUUAUCCGGUGCCAGAGGAUGGAGCAGGAAUACCCAAUACAACCACAAAAUUUAUUCCUUCCAUUCAGAAUAGCUACAAUUGUGACUUCUCAAAAAAUAGCAAGUGCAGCGCUAAAUGGGUGGCAAAGGAUUGGCAAAUAGACGAGACCUCGUCGAAGACAAGGGAGUUUAUCGAUGAUAGUCGGUGGGAAGAUAUGCCAACGGUAAUGACCUCCGGAAACACUUUUGACCACAGUUAUGAUCUGGAUAACUCAGAGGUAGCAAGUUUCUCAGUUAGAUCAGCAGAGACAGUUGAUAUUUUUUUGUGUUCAGGAUGGAAUCCAAGAAACUACCCUUGUCACGUCUUCAGAAUCAAUUCUAGAAAAGUCAAUUAUGCUGCAAUGAACUCCUACUCGGAUAAUAGUUACGACGUUAUGAAUGUCGUUUAUCAGGCAUUUUCUAACAUCAUAACAAUAGAUGAAUGGCGAAACUUCCAAGUCGAGGUUAAAGAAAAUAAAAUUAAAUUGAUAGAUCUCAAUACGAAUCGAAUACUGUUUGAAGGUCAAAACAAAGAUGAUAUUAGGCCCAAAUACUUAGUGGUCAGAAGUUUACAACCUAGUUUUUGGAAAAUCAUUGAGAAUCCUUUUAUGUAUACAGCAACCGCCCAAAUAUCCAGAAUGGGGCCCCAAAUCGAAACUUCUUAUAAAGAUUUGUGCGUUUCUCUAUUUGUGAAUACGUGCGAAGCAUGUCAGAUGACAUUCUUUUAUAUGAAUGGCACUGAGAGAAAAGAUCUUAAGCAUGUUGAGCCUACCAAUUAUAAUUGGACAGAAAUAAAACUGAAACAGGAAAAUAUUCAACUUGGAAGGUUCAAUCUUUUUAUUGAAACUCGAUUUUCACCUUCUGCCAAGGAACCUAAGACUGGCUGGUGGGCAUAUGAUGGUGUCAGAGUAUGUAAUGAAAAUGAGGUAAAGGUGACUUAUCUAAAACUAAACCAAACUUUCGCUGAAGAUGACACAACUGUGAACCAAAUCUCAUGUCAAUUGAUAAAAGAACCCGGUUAUAAGCCAGCGAGCCUCGAAUACGACGAGAUUGAAGAUGAAAUUUUUUCAGAGUUUCCCCCUGUGGAAACCAUAGCGAAUGAUACCAGUAUUAAGCUUAUAUGGAAAGACGAAGAUCCGGAUCACUAUCUCACUUAUUUUGUGUAUUAUCAGGGAAAUGAUCCUUGCUCUAUGGACAUUGCUACAUCCCCCAGACUAAGAUCAAGCGGAUUUUUAACCACGAAAUAUAGCGAAAUUAUCUUAACUAAUCUGAUACCAGACACUCUCUACAAUAUAACUAUCUCUUCAGUAUUACACGAGAACGACAAGUUUCUGACCGUAAAAACCUUGGAAACUGAUGAACCCAGCAUAAAAGAACUUCCUAUUAAAAUGCACAUCAUACCACAAGCAAAUGCAGUAAAUAUAUCGUGGGAUAGACCCAAAUGCAGUUCCAGAUACGGAAGGUUAAUCUACAACAUUCGAGUAUCAAACGACAAAUUACAAUUUAACAAACAACUUUAUCAACAAGUGAAAAACUCUUACCUAAUCGAAGGCCUACGACCGUUCACCGAUCAUAAUCUAACAGUUGAAACUGCUCGAAAUGCCAAGAAUCUUGCUACUGGAAAGCACACCCACAAACUGACUUACCAAUUUACAACUUUGCCUGGAGUUGCCGGAAUGGUAAAAAACUUGGAACUAUACGCGAUUGGUUCCAACAAAGCUUACUUUAGAUAUGACUUACCGGCUAGUACCCAAGGUAUCCCAAGUGAAAUUCGUGUAACCAAAUGUCCAUUACUUUCAAGAGCUAAAUGUAAAACGGCAGAAAGCAGCAUUUCAAAGUGUACUUUGUGGCCUCAGAAGAUGUGUCUGGUGGUGGACUAUCUGAUUCCUAAUCAAACGUACACCUUUACCAUGAGCAUUAAGAACGUGAACUCGAAUGUUUUUGGAAACAGUUUCGAGGUAACGGGGACCACCGAGGAAAGAGUGCCACUGCCUCCUCAAAAUGUCACUUAUAAAGUGGUAGAUUGUCACGAGAGCACGGAUUAUUGUCACCUUAAUAUUAGUUGGUUCUACCCGUACAGUCCAAAUGCGACCAUCAAUGCUUUCAAUAUUGUUUUGAAUAGCACCUAUUAUAAUGAUUCUUACUCUGAGGAGGACCAAACUAUCCAUGAAGUUUAUAAGAUUGUUGAUGAAAGUGAUUAUUUGCCACGAUACACUUAUCAGAUAAAAUAUGUGCCAUAUAGCAAAGAAUACAACCUCUAUGUACAAUCAGCAAAUGACAAAUACAAGAGUGAUUUCGUGACCACUACAGUAAAAACAGCUGACUUAGGAGAUCAUAUUGACCAAAGACCGAAGCUGCUCGGCAAAGGGGAUAAAGCUAUAAUUUUCAAACUACCGCCCUUAGAUAGAAGAUUGGACUCUUAUACCCUGACCGUUAUAGUUCAGGACUCAAAUAAAUCUAUCGAGGUGGCCUCAAAAAUGUUACCAGAAAAAUUCACCGAUACUAUUUGUCAGCGUUAUGGAGAUACUUGGGUAUCGCAUACUUUAAAUGUUAAGGACAAUAAAACAAACACAAUAACCAUCUCAUCUGGAAAGCAUGGCGAACAAAUAAGACCAAAUACAAAAUAUUGCAUAAACUUUUUUAUACAGAUGCGGUACAGGGGUGAGGAACAUGAAGUGACUUAUUAUGAAAAAUUGAUAACUCCAAGUUCGCCACCACCGACCAGUGACGCUCCUAAAGCAGGAAACUUUAAUCAUUUGUAUAUGCUGUUGUUGCUGCUUUUAUUGGUGCCAAUUGGAUUUGCGAUUUAUUGACUUAUUUCUAUUACUAUCAUUUAUAUUCAUCUCCACAUAGACGAUUUGGUGAGGUGUAUAAAAAGGCGUACCCAAAGGCGAAAGCUAGAACCACCAGAGAACGAAUACGAGAGUCUCCCAUUCGAAGACAAGGGUAACAAUUACGUUAAUAAAACCACUUACGACCACCUAAUCCGCAAAUAAUAAUUUUUUUUCCUAAUUU
Molecule: unclassified non-coding RNA, 3552 nt
Filed under: Anthonomus grandis grandis
Lineage: Eukaryota; Metazoa; Arthropoda; Insecta; Coleoptera; Curculionidae
Description: uncharacterized LOC126743031
Source: RNAcentral